RNAcentral lists this ribosomal RNA (501 nucleotides) under Scaptotrigona mexicana. Its description in RNAcentral is "partial small subunit ribosomal RNA". The stretch from base 350 to 501 matches the Rfam family "Archaeal large subunit ribosomal RNA", at positions 2542 to 2694 of the family's 2987-position model. The record is from RNAcentral. Lineage: Eukaryota; Metazoa; Arthropoda; Insecta; Hymenoptera; Apidae.
CUGCCCAAUGAAUAAAUUUAAUGGCUGCAGUAUAAAUAACUGUACAAAGGUAGCAUAAUCAAUUGAUUUUUAAAUGAAAUCUGGAAUAAAAGAAUUAAUGAAAUAUAUACUGUCUCAUAUAUAUAAUAUAAAUUUAAACUUUUAAUAAAAAUGUUAAAAUUUAUUUAUGGGACGAUAAGACCCUAUAGAAUUUUAUAUUAAAUUAUUUUUAUAUAUAUUAAAUAUAAAAUUUAAAUUAAUAUUUAAUUGGGAGAAUUAUUAAAUUUAAAAAAUUUUAAUUUUAAAAAACUUUAAUUUAAGAAAAUAUAUUGAUCUUUAAAUUAAAAUUAAUAGAAUAAAUUACCUUAGGGAUAACAGCGUUAUAUUUUUUUAUAGAUCACAUAGAAAAAAAUGAUUGCGACCUCGAUGUUGAAUUAAGAUAAAUUUUAAAUGUAGAAAUUUAAUAAUUAAGUCUGUUCGACUUUUAAAAUCUUACAUGAUUUGAGUUCAAAUCGACGUAAG